AAGUCGUAACAAGGUCUCCGUAGGUGAACCUGCGGAGGGAUCAUUACACACGUAUCCCAAAAUACGUUUUCAAACCAAACCGUGCUCUUUUUUUAUUUUUUUACCUGUAGUGUAACGGGAACUAUAUGACAUAAAAGGUGGAUUGAGAAUACCCCUUAAACCCGGGUGUACUCAAGGCAUAUAGUUCAUACCAAACUGAUACAUUGCAGUAGUAAAUCCUUUAGCCACCUGGCUACAUGUGCCAAACCGGUUCCGACCCGGAGCCUUGUAGCCUUAUUGCUCCGUUUUUUUUUACCCCUUUCUUUUUUUUGAACUGAAACAUGUUGUUUUAGCCUACCUUUUGUGUAGUGUCUUGAACACACAUAUACGAAAUGUAAAAAAGAACAACUGUUAGCAAUGGAUAUCUUGGUUCUC
This 414-nucleotide unclassified non-coding RNA is filed under the name fungal sp. Its description in RNAcentral is "partial internal transcribed spacer region". The stretch from base 1 to 46 matches the Rfam family "Eukaryotic small subunit ribosomal RNA", at positions 1786 to 1831 of the family's 1831-position model. The record is from RNAcentral. Lineage: Eukaryota; Fungi.